AGAACCUUGCUACUUGGGUGACGAGCGGCGGACGGGUGAGUAACGCGUAGGAAUCUACCUAAUGGUGGGGGAUAGCCCAGGGAAACUUGGAUUAAUACCGCAUAAGUCCUAAGGGAGAAAGCGGGGGAUCUUCGGACCUCGUGCCAUUAGAUGAGCCUGCGUAAGAUUAGCUAGUUGGUGAGGUAAGAGCUCACCAAGGCGACGAUCUUUAGCUGGUCUGAGAGGAUGAUCAGCCACACUGGGACUGAGACACGGCCCAGACUCCUACGGGAGGCAGCAGUGGGGAAUAUUGCACAAUGGGCGCAAGCCUGAUCCAGCCAUGCCGCGUGUGUGAAGAAGGCCUUCGGGUUGUAAAGCACUUUCAGUCAGGAGGAAAGGUUAGUAGUUAAUACCUGCUAGCUGUGACGUUACUGACAGAAGAAGCACCGGCUAAAUCCGUGCCAGCAGCCGCGGUAAUACGGAUGGUGCGAGCGUUAAUCGGAAUUACUGGGCGUAAAGCGCGCGUAGGCGGCUAAGUCAGUCAGAAGUGAAAGCCCCGGGCUCAACCUGGGAAUUGCUUUUGAUACUGCUUAGCUAGAGUUUGGUAGAGGAUAGUGGAAUUCCAGGUGUAGCGGUGAAAUGCGUAGAUAUCUGGAGGAACAUCAGUGGCGAAGGCGACUGUCUGGACCAAAACUGACGCUGAGGUGCGAAAG
This 692-nucleotide ribosomal RNA is filed under the name uncultured Gammaproteobacteria bacterium. RNAcentral describes it as "bacterial SSU rRNA". It matches the Rfam family "Bacterial small subunit ribosomal RNA", at positions 70 to 759 of the family's 1533-position model. Lineage: Bacteria; Pseudomonadati; Pseudomonadota; Gammaproteobacteria. The record is from RNAcentral.